Long non-coding RNA from Serinus canaria (Common canary), 299 nucleotides. RefSeq lists it as uncharacterized. The record is from RefSeq and is a predicted model, not a curated record. Lineage: Eukaryota; Metazoa; Chordata; Aves; Passeriformes; Fringillidae. The transcript has 3 exons.
GCGCCUCCAUGACGGGUGAGGGCGAAAUGGCGGCCGGAAGGGGCGGCCUGUAGCAGCCAUUGCCGGCGGGACGGGGCGCGGCGGCGGCGGAGUAGGUGGUGGCGACAGCAGAGACGAGGCGGCCGCGGCGGGGCAAUGCCACACUGAGAUGCCUGUGAAAUGCAGAGAUUUGGCAAAGCAGUGUACCAGCUUCAUCUUCAAAAGGCAAUGGCCUUGUUGCUUUCAGUAGAACUGCUCAAUUGAAGCAGAAAAGCAGAGAGUGUACCUGGAUGAAGCUUUGUUGCAAGAGGGCGGAUAAG